Molecule: small nucleolar RNA, 80 nt
Filed under: Nannospalax galili (Upper Galilee mountains blind mole rat)
Lineage: Eukaryota; Metazoa; Chordata; Mammalia; Rodentia; Spalacidae
Description: Small nucleolar RNA SNORA31 (ENSNGAG00000007160.1)
Source: RNAcentral
UUGCAUUGCAAGAAGAAAGUUUCCUCACACUUUCUGUCUGUCUGAUUAUGACAGCCAAGAUUGAAUAGAGGAACACAGAG